This 464-nucleotide ribosomal RNA is filed under the name uncultured bacterium. RNAcentral's name for it is "partial 16S ribosomal RNA". It matches the Rfam family "Bacterial small subunit ribosomal RNA", at positions 339 to 795 of the family's 1533-position model. The record is from RNAcentral.
CGGGGGGCUGCAGCAGUGGGGAAUAUUGCACAAUGGGCGCAAGCCUGAUGCAGCCAUGCCGCGUGUAUGAAGAAGGCCUUCGGGUUGUAAAGUACUUUCAGCGGGGAGGAAGGGAGUAAAGUUAAUACCUUUGCUCAUUGACGUUACCCGCAGAAGAAGCACCGGCUAACUCCGUGCCAGCAGCCGCGGUAAUACGGAGGGUGCAAGCGCUAAUCGGAAUUACUGGGCGUAAAGCGCACGCAGGCGGUUUGUUAAGUCAGAUGUGAAAUCCCCGGGCUCAACCUGGGAACUGCAUCUGAUACUGGCAAGCUUGAGUCUCGUAGAGGGGGGUAGAAUUCCAGGUGUAGCGGUGAAAUGCGUAGAGAUCUGGAGGAAUACCGGUGGCGAAGGCGGCCCCCUGGACGAAGACUGACGCUCAGGUGCGAAAGCGUGGGGAGCAAACAGGAUUAGAUACCCUGGUAGUC